CAGUAGCUCAGUUGGAUAGAGCAACAGAUUUCUAAUCUGUGGGUCAGGGGUUCGAAUCCCUUCUGG
This 66-nucleotide transfer RNA is filed under the name human gut metagenome. It matches the Rfam family "tRNA", at positions 5 to 66 of the family's 71-position model. Rfam says of the family: Transfer RNA (tRNA) molecules are approximately 80 nucleotides in length. Their secondary structure includes four short double-helical elements and three loops (D, anti-codon, and T loops). The record is from RNAcentral.